AUGGGUCAGGGAGUAUCCAUGGCCAAAGGUUGGUACCAUGAUGACAAGAAGGUGGCACUGACACCUGGAUGUUGCUGGCCCUUGAAAGCCAGCCUUCAGUCCCUCCCAGGCUACACAGUUGUCCUCGUGGCCCAGAAAACCUCUAAAGCAAAGAUGAUGUUGUACCAUUUGUCUGGACCCAACCAGAAUACUUCUAAGCCUAUCUUGGGGAGCAAGGGCAUUCUGGAGCAUGACAGGAAUGGUGCAUGUAGAAGCAAAGACCUGAACUGCCCAACUCAAGAGGCUCUAGACUGGAGUUGCACCCAGAUGGCUUCCAUGAUAGCAAUGAUCCUUGAGUCUUUCAUGCUCUAUAACCCAUGUCCUUCUAAAACAACCCCAGGGGCUCCAUGGUGGACUGCGUUCUUAUUCAAAAGUAUUCACUGCUCCUAUCUGGGGGAGGACGAUACUUUUCUAUCCCAUUGAUGGCAGGCUUGAUCUUGUGAUUUGUUCUUGGCUGUUAAAAUAUUCAAAGUGAUAAAUGUCACUUCUGGCCAGAAGCUUUAAGAGCCAACACAUGAGUUACUGUCUCCUUUCCCUCCAUAAUAAAACUGGCAAUACUCCAGACUGACCCUACCGCACCAACAUGAUCACAAAGAUGAUGGGGAGAGAAUUGUAGGUUACCCAUGAUGUUAAUGUGGUGUGGAUGAAAAAUAAAUCUUUCUGGUGUAGGUCAUUGGAUUUUGGAGUUGUUUGUUGACACAGCAAACCUGGCUCUUAUUAACUAACACAAUAUCCAACUACCUAGUAUCAUUUCAUAAAAGCAAAGAGUUUGCUGCUUUAAAAAGUCUUUUGAAAAUAUUUAGAUUGAAUAGCAUAUAUUUAAUCUGGCAUUUUAAAAGAGAUCCUGAUUUUAAAAAAACAGAAAUGUUGCUAGAUUGCUUUGGUCAAUGAAGUAAUCAUUUGUUAGACAGCUAAAAGUAACAGGUUUGGAGACCCCUAGUUUGGGGUCACAAACAUCAAGUCAAAAAGUACACAUGCAAACAGGGCUUGCUCUCAACCUUCCAGUCAAAAAACACGUGCUAAUUUUUUGCCCUUCUUAAAAAAUAUAUAAAUUUAUUUAUUUUAAUUGGAGGUUAAUUACUUUAA
Molecule: long non-coding RNA, 1125 nt
Filed under: Capra hircus (goat)
Lineage: Eukaryota; Metazoa; Chordata; Mammalia; Artiodactyla; Bovidae
Description: lncRNA (ENSCHIG00010029556.1)
Source: RNAcentral